AGUUGCAGGGUAUAGACCCGAAACCCGGUGAUCUAGCCAUGGGCAGGUUGAAGGUUGGGUAACACUAACUGGAGGACCGAACCGACUAAUGUUGAAAAAUUAGCGGAUGACCUGUGGCUGGGGGUGAAAGGCCAAUCAAACC
RNAcentral lists this ribosomal RNA (142 nucleotides) under Cronobacter universalis NCTC 9529. Its description in RNAcentral is "Large Subunit Ribosomal RNA; lsuRNA; LSU rRNA". It matches the Rfam family "Bacterial large subunit ribosomal RNA", at positions 698 to 839 of the family's 2925-position model. The record is from RNAcentral. Lineage: Bacteria; Pseudomonadati; Pseudomonadota; Gammaproteobacteria; Enterobacterales; Enterobacteriaceae.